Molecule: ribosomal RNA, 725 nt
Filed under: Streptomyces sp. YIM 63591
Lineage: Bacteria; Bacillati; Actinomycetota; Actinomycetes; Kitasatosporales; Streptomycetaceae
Description: bacterial SSU rRNA
Rfam family: Bacterial small subunit ribosomal RNA
Source: RNAcentral
GCAAGUCGAACGAUGAACCACUUCGGUGGGGAUUAGUGGCGAACGGGUGAGUAACACGUGGGCAAUCUGCCCUUCACUCUGGGACAAGCCCUGGAAACGGGGUCUAAUACCGGAUGACACUCCUACAGGCAUCUGUGGGGGUUGAAAGCUCCGGCGGUGAAGGAUGAGCCCGCGGCCUAUCAGCUUGUUGGUGAGGUAGUGGCUCACCAAGGCGACGACGGGUAGCCGGCCUGAGAGGGCGACCGGCCACACUGGGACUGAGACACGGCCCAGACUCCUACGGGAGGCAGCAGUGGGGAAUAUUGCACAAUGGGCGAAAGCCUGAUGCAGCGACGCCGCGUGAGGGAUGACGGCCUUCGGGUUGUAAACCUCUUUCAGCAGGGAAGAAGCGAAAGUGACGGUACCUGCAGAAGAAGCGCCGGCUAACUACGUGCCAGCAGCCGCGGUAAUACGUAGGGCGCAAGCGUUGUCCGGAAUUAUUGGGCGUAAAGAGCUCGUAGGCGGUCUGUCGCGUCGGAUGUGAAAGCCCGGGGCUUAACCCCGGGUCUGCAUUCGAUACGGGCAGACUAGAGUGUGGUAGGGGAGAUCGGAAUUCCUGGUGUAGCGGUGAAAUGCGCAGAUAUCAGGAGGAACACCGGUGGCGAAGGCGGAUCUCUGGGCCAUUACUGACGCUGAGGAGCGAAAGCGUGGGGAGCGAACAGGAUUAGAUACCCUGGUAGUCCACG